AACGAACGCUGGCGGCAUGCCUAACACAUGCAAGUCGAACGAGACCUUCGGGUCUAGUGGCGCACGGGUGCGUAACGCGUGGGAACCUGCCCUUAGGUUCGGAAUAACUCCCCGAAAGGGGUGCUAAUACCGGAUAAUUUCUUCGGACCAAAGAUUUAUCGCCUUUGGAUGUGCCCGCGUUGGAUUAGCUAGUUGGUAGGGUAAAAGCCUACCAAGGCGACGAUCCAUAGCUGGUCUGAGAGGAUGAUCAGCCACACUGGGACUGAGACACGGCCCAGACUCCUACGGGAGGCAGCAGUGGGGAAUAUUGGACAAUGGGCGAAAGCCUGAUCCAGCAAUGCCGCGUGAGUGAUGAAGGCCUUAGGGUUGUAAAGCUCUUUUACCCGGGAUGAUAAUGACAGUACCGGGAGAAUAAGCUCCGGCUAACUCCGUG
RNAcentral lists this ribosomal RNA (433 nucleotides) under uncultured bacterium. RNAcentral describes it as "partial 16S ribosomal RNA". It matches the Rfam family "Bacterial small subunit ribosomal RNA", at positions 29 to 507 of the family's 1533-position model. The record is from RNAcentral.